This is a transfer RNA of Ovis aries (sheep), 72 nucleotides long. It matches the Rfam family "tRNA". Rfam says of the family: Transfer RNA (tRNA) molecules are approximately 80 nucleotides in length. Their secondary structure includes four short double-helical elements and three loops (D, anti-codon, and T loops). NCBI's taxonomy places the organism in Eukaryota, Metazoa, Chordata, Mammalia, Artiodactyla, Bovidae. The record is from Rfam.
GGGGGUGUAGCUCAGUGGUAGAGCAUGUGCUUUGCAUGCACAAGGCCCUGGGUUCAAUUCCUAGCACCUCCA